This 809-nucleotide ribosomal RNA is filed under the name Shigella sonnei. RNAcentral's name for it is "partial 23S ribosomal RNA". It matches the Rfam family "Bacterial large subunit ribosomal RNA", at positions 962 to 1769 of the family's 2925-position model. The record is from RNAcentral. Lineage: Bacteria; Pseudomonadati; Pseudomonadota; Gammaproteobacteria; Enterobacterales; Enterobacteriaceae.
CCGGAGAAUGUUAUCACGGGAGACACACGGCGGGUGCUAACGUCCGUCGUGAAGAGGGAAACAACCCAGACCGCCAGCUAAGGUCCCAAAGUCAUGGUUAAGUGGGAAACGAUGUGGGAAGGCCCAGACAGCCAGGAUGUUGGCUUAGAAGCAGCCAUCAUUUAAAGAAAGCGUAAUAGCUCACUGGUCGAGUCGGCCUGCGCGGAAGAUGUAACGGGGCUAAACCAUGCACCGAAGCUGCGGCAGCGACGCUUAUGCGUUGUUGGGUAGGGGAGCGUUCUGUAAGCCUGCGAAGGUGUGCUGUGAGGCAUGCUGGAGGUAUCAGAAGUGCGAAUGCUGACAUAAGUAACGAUAAAGCGGGUGAAAAGCCCGCUCGCCGGAAGACCAAGGGUUCCUGUCCAACGUUAAUCGGGGCAGGGUGAGUCGACCCCUAAGGCGAGGCCGAAAGGCGUAGUCGAUGGGAAACAGGUUAAUAUUCCUGUACUUGGUGUUACUGCGAAGGGGGGACGGAGAAGGCUAUGUUGGCCGGGCGACGGUUGUCCCGGUUUAAGCGUGUAGGCUGGUUUUCCAGGCAAAUCCGGAAAAUCAAGGCUGAGGCGUGAUGACGAGGCACUACGGUGCUGAAGCAACAAAUGCCCUGCUUCCAGGAAAAGCCUCUAAGCAUCAGGUAACAUCAAAUCGUACCCCAAACCGACACAGGUGGUCAGGUAGAGAAUACCAAGGCGCUUGAGAGAACUCGGGUGAAGGAACUAGGCAAAAUGGUGCCGUAACUUCGGGAGAAGGCACGCUGAUAUGUAGGUGAAGUCCCU